Pangasianodon hypophthalmus (striped catfish) is the source of this 7417-nucleotide RNA transcript. It is a transcript of the gene named G protein signaling modulator 1b, with no coding region annotated. The transcript is spliced from 15 exons. Lineage: Eukaryota; Metazoa; Chordata; Actinopteri; Siluriformes; Pangasiidae. The record is from RefSeq and is a predicted model, not a curated record.
AUUGCAAGGAGGAGGGUGCUUGUAUAAGUGUGUGUGUAUGUGUGUGUGUGAGAGAGAGAGAGAGAGAGAGAGAGAGAGACAGGGAGAGAGUGUGCACUCAAAGACACACACACACACACUAGUGCAAGGUUGAAGCUGCUGGAUAUCAGUGUACGGGCUCCACAAGCCCACGAGCUCACCAGCAUGGACCAGGAUCUGGCGAGCAAAAGGCUCCACUCGAGGAUGGAGGCGUCCUGUCUGGAGUUGGCUCUAGAAGGUGAGCGUCUGUGCAAAGCCGGAGACUUUAAAGGUGGAACAGCGUUCUUCGAGGCCGCGGUUCAGGUAGGAACCGAGGAUCUGAAGACCCUCAGUGCCAUUUACAGCCAGCUGGGCAAUGCCUACUUCUACCUCAAGGAGUACGGCAAAGCUCUGGAGUAUCACCGGCACGACCUCACGCUCGCCAGGACGAUCGGAGACAGAAUAGGGGAAGCGAAGGCGAGUGGGAACCUGGGGAACACUCUGAAGGUACUCGGACGCUACGACGAGGCGGUCGUGUGCUGCCAGAGACAUCUGGACAUCUCGCAAGAGCAAGGAGACAAGGUUGGUGAGGCCCGGGCACUGUACAACAUCGGGAAUGUGUUUCAUGCUAAAGGGAAGCAGCAGUUGUGGGGAUGUUCUCAGGAGCCGGGAGACCUGCCGGGGGACGUGAGAGACACGUUACAGAGAGCCACAGCUUUCUACGAAAUGAACCUGUCUCUGGUGAAGGAGCUGGGUGACCGGGCCGCUCAGGGCCGGGCUUUUGGUAACCUUGGUAACACACACUACCUGCUGGGUAAUUUCGUCGAGGCCAUUAAAUUUCAUCGUGAGAGACUUUCCAUCGCUAAAGAGUUCGGAGACAAAGCAGCCGAGCGUCGAGCCUACAGCAACCUCGGCAACGCUCUGAUCUUCCUCGGCCAGUUCAGCUCAGCAACCGAGUACUACAGGAAAACACUGCAGCUCUCUCGGCAGUUGAAGGACCAGGUGAUGGAGGCUCAGGCAUGUUACAGUUUGGGAAACACAUACACACUGCUGCAGCAGUAUGAGCGCGCCAUCGACUACCACCUCAAACAUCUGCUCAUCGCUCAGGAGCUCAAUGACAGGGUGGGAGAAGGCCGUGCUUGUUGGAGUUUGGGAAAUGCCUACGUGUCCUUAGGAAACCAUCGUCAGGCUCUGCACUAUGCACACAAACACCUCGACAUCUCCCGAGAGAUCGGGGACAGGAAUGGGGAAUUGACGGCUCGGAUGAACGUACAGCAGCUGAUGGAGGUGCUGGAUGUGAAAGAGGGAGACCUCUCUCCAUGCGGCUCAGAGUUUGAGAUGCAGGGAGCUCGGCCGAAAUUUAAGAAGAGGAACAGUAUGGACAGUGUGGAUCUGUGGAAGUACACUUCUGAAAAGAACGGAGACGGACACGAUGUGGACGGCGUGUCCCAGAGGUCUAAACAUCAGCUGUCUCACUCCAGCAGGAGGAAAAAGUACACAGAGAGCCAGACGUCAGAGGACAGGCAGUGGCUGGACUCACCUGUGGACACGGAUGACAUCACUGUACAGGUAACGCCACAGAAGCUGGGUCGCGACCCCUCCGAUGAGGACUGCUUCUUCGACCUGCUCAGUAAGUUCCAGAGCAGCCGCAUGGACGAUCAGCGCUGCCGUCUCAGUGAGGACGCUAACGGUCAGGACACGCACAGUGAUGACGCCGCAGACUCGGCCAUCAGCGACAUGAUCGACGCCAGCCUCCUGGCCUCGCCUCAGACGGAGGAGCUCUUCGAUCUGAUCGCCAGCUCGCAGAGCCGCAGGCUGGACGACCAGCGGGUCAGUGUGGGGAACCUGCCGGGUCUCAGGAUUACCCACAAUAACCUGGGGCACCUGCGCGCCGAAGCUGAGCCUCAGGAGCCCAGCGACGACUUCUUCAACAUGCUCAUCAAGUGCCAGUCGUCCAGGAUAGAUGAUCAGCGGUGUUCUCCUCCUGAAGGCGGUCCCCGUGCCCCCACUGUGCCGGACGAGGACUUCUUCAGCCUCAUCCAGAGGGUUCAGGCCAAACGCAUGGACGAGCAGCGCGUCCAGCUUCCCUCUGAGAACCACUCGGAUAACGAGAACGCCGCUGGAGACUCCAGCUAGACCCUGCACACAGUCAGAGAGGGAGAGAGAGACUGAUGAUGGGAAGGUUUCUGGACUAUGACUGUAUCAUCUGUGUAUUUGUGUACGAGUGACUUCGUGCACUGUAUUUUAUCCAGGGUGACGUUUUAAACGCACCUUAUGUGGUUCAUUAGACACCAGCCACUAGUGUUGUUGUAGUGUGCACUCGCUAGCCGCUAAUCAACAUCCUGUAUGUCUUCAUUUAAAGUGGUGUGACGCGUUAACGCCCCGAGCCUUUCAGCGCGCUCGAUUUUUCAGCUUUUUCAGCCGAGGUGUUGUUCCUCCAGCAGCCGUGACAUGUUCAGCGUCAGUGUUUGUUUUCUCUUUAUAGUAUUGUAUCAUUCAAAUGAUACAAAAUCUUUCAAAAUAAUUCAAAAUAGGUGCUUUCUGUCUUAUGUUUUCUUUUUUAAUAGCAUGUUGUUGUAUAUUUAUUAUGGCGCUGGUGGAGAAAAAGACUGACAUAUCAACGACUGUGAAAAAAUGUACAUUUUUAAAAAUUAAGAUAGAUAAGAUCGUGUAAAUGAUAUAACAAGCAAAAAAAAGUAUAUAAGCUUUCAAAAGAGAAAACAAAUGGACGAGUGUUCUGUUUGUAAAAAAAAAAAAAAAGUCUGAUGGUGUUUAGGGUUUAUGAUGAUGAUGAUCGAUGCUUUCGACAUGCGCUAUAGCUAAAUGAGCCGUACCGUGACUAAGUGGUUGCUUUUCUUGCACAAGUGUCCUAACUAUCGAAAAAACAUGGAUGUAUGGGCGGAGCUAAAAAUACUGCAGAUCACUGAUUGAUCCAAAGCUUCUUUCUCUUUUCUAAUCUUCUUUGUUAUCACAGCUUUGGGAGGCAACGUCACAAUUUUAUCGAGUUAAAUAUUUUAAAUUAGUUUUUUUGUAAAUUCAUUUUUAUUUUUUUUUUAUUUAUUUACCCACCAUUUAUUUCAUUCUUGGCUUUACCAUUCUUACCCGUAAAUCUUCCAUUUAGUCCAAAUCCUAAAUGACUUCAUAUGUGCUAUACAUGCUCACUACACAGGGUACAACAUAAGAGUGCUGUAGGACUGAAUGUAGUGCAUUACACACUCCGAAAGAAGCUGUUUGAGAUUUGGUCAAAGUUGAAGAUUUUUGAAUCAAAUCUAAAGGAAACACUGAGAAAGAUAUACGGUUGUUUAAUUAAGUAAAAAAAAAAAAAAAGAAUUUUACUAUUUAAUUGGAUGAUAAAAUGGAGGCAACUUUUAAAUCACCAUUUUAUCAUCCAAUUAAGUAUUUUACAUUUUUAUUUAUAUAUCCACCGUAAUAUUGUCUCAUUGCGUUUUGCUGAUUUGACAUUUCUUACCCAUGAUGGAAAAUAAAUAAAUAAAAAAAAAAUGCUAUCUUAAAUGCCAUCUUAAAUUUAGACCAAAUCCCAAAUGGCUUCAUGUUCACUAUAUAUGCUCACUACAUAGGGUAUGAGGUAAUGGUGCUGUAGGAUGUGUGUAGUGCUCUACAGAACGCCAUUCGAGAUCCAGAGAAACUGCACGACUACUUGUGUGGUAUGUCUUGUCAUAUUCUCUGUAUUGCCACCAAAAGUAUUGGCCCCCUCAGCUUAAAACUUAAAACAAAUAAUAAAAGUAAUUAGCUGAUGCUAGUGAUACUAACUAGUCAACUAACUGAUCAGAAGAAACAGCAUCAGAUCGCAAAGCCUUCUGGGUUUAAAUUCUGCUCCUAAAAUCUCGAGUCAUCCUGAGAGACUCAUUCCUCACCUGAUCUGAUAAAGUAACGGAACAGAGCUGAAGAUAGUGACGGGGAUUUAAUCAGUGUGAAAUAGAAAGCGUGAUAAAAUCGGAAUGGUUUCUUCUGAGUGUCUGAUCUGAUCCAGGAUCAGUGUUGCGCCUCGCCUCGUACCAACUCCAGCUCAGUGAGGGACACGGUGAACUGAUUUCAGAUCUGUGUGGAAAUCUUUCUGCUUUAUCGCCACCUGGUGGUUCUGAGGUUUCAAUUCAGCUGCCAUUUCUAAAGGCCUCAAGUCUAAAUAAAACUGAGAAACUGCAGGAUGUAGAAGAUCUGAAAUUUUACAUUUUGUUUUCGCAAUUCAAAGAUUUACACAGUUUGAGUUAUUUAUAUGCCCUACUGUAAUUCUUAAACUGAUGUUAGUGCCUAGUGUGUGAGCAUCCUCUUUCUUUCUUUCUUUCUUUCUCAUUUAUUUAUUUGUCCUUUUAUUUCUCCUCUCAUUCAUUGUUUAUUGUUUUUCUUUAUUUCUCCUCAUCUUCCCAUUUUUCUUUUUGUUCUUUUUUUCUUGCCUUUCUUUUGUUCCUUUUCUCAUUUGUUUCUUUCCUUCUUUGUCCUUUGUCUAAUUUCUUUCAUUUUAUUUCUUCUCUCAUUUCUUUCUUUCUUUCUUUCUUUCUUUCUUUUUGACCCUAACAAGUUGAAAAAAAUUGUGAUAAACAGCAUAUCAUUACACACUUUAUUCAUGAUCCUCUUCCCCUUAUUGAAGUAAACAAUUCUGACGUUUACAAAUGACUCGUGUCCAAUAAGGACAUCAAUAUUAUAUCAUUUAAAUACAUAGAAACGAUAAAAUGAUAAAAUGGUAGAAAUAUAAAUGUAUUUAAUUCUUUAGAAUUGUGUUAAGUUGAGUACAAUGUAUAAAAAAAUGAAAGCUAUGCUUUAUAUUCUAGCUCGAGAGCUAACUGUAAAUAUUUCUAGCCAAAACCUUUAAAGAUUUAAAUAAUUCAUAUUAAUAUCUGUUUAAUAUCUGAUAUCAGGAGUUCGAUGGGAGUUUAUCUGAAAUUAUUAGGUAUGUUUUUACAGGUCAAUCACUGCCAUAACGUCCAUUUUUGUAUUUAUUUUGUGUUGCUGGACGAGCACGUCCACUUUUCAACAUUUUAAUAAAAUGUUGAUGAAAACUUAAUCACUCUUUUAUUCUUUAUUAUGCUUAAUAUAAAUGAUGAACUUAUUAUAUAUUUUAUUUAAUUCUAUGCUACGCAGAUGAAGUGGAAAAUUUGUUGUAAUGAUGAUUUAAUCAAGUGCUGGUUAAUCCUGAGUAAAAAAACAGUAAUACAUGUGUAAAUAUUUGUCACAGUAACUAGUUAAACUAUAGAGCAAACUCCAAAAUAGUGCUUGAAAAGUGUUUGCUCAUGGAGGAGUGGCCCAAGAGUCUCCAAAACCUCGCUACACAUUACAGGAAGAGAUGAAAUUAUUGUAAGGGAGCCACUAAUUUUGAAACCAGCAUGAAAAAUUGCACUAUUUAAAAAAAUAUUGGUGUUUAAACAAAACUAUACAGUGUCCACUUAUGUUUAAGUUCUAAAUAUCACUCAUUGUACGUGUUGUUUAUUUUAAACAUUAAUUUGUGCUCAUUUCCACUCCAAUAAUUCAGGAGUUGCCUGUUUAAUUGGUGUACUGAUUUAGCAAGCUAAACUCCGGGAGGUAUCCGGGUUAGCAGUGUGGCGUUGGAUCUUACCCAAGUGUGUGAAUUAGAUGUCAGCUUUGGGGAUUAAUGAAACGUGCUGAGCUACAUUCUUACAUUUGCCUGUUAUUGCGGAAUCAAGUUGAGACAAAUCCAACUUCCAGUACUGCAUUUCUCGCAUUUCUCACAAGGAUGAUGCUAACCAUUACGAUUGUAAUGUUUUACAUUAAGGUUCCCUUUAAUACCACAGUGCUGUUGAGUUCUGGUCAGAAGGUAUUGAUUCAUUUUCUGUAACAGCAGCUCUGACAGUAGUGCAGCUGCAAAUCACAGCUUUACAUGUCAAGCUACUUUUUUUUUUUUUUUUCAUUUUUAUUACCGUGAAGAAGAAGUGAGCGAACAACUGUCUAGUUAUAACAGGAACUCACUUGUUUUGUGGAAGUUCCACAACAUUAAAUGUAACUACAAACAGAUCAGUAAGGAUUUGGUUAAAGAAAAUACCCCAAUCUUUCUGUAUCACCACUAAAUUCAUUACUAAAACUUAAAGAGAUGAUGGAAUAACCACGACUCGAGGAGGAAGCUGUCCAUCAAAAGUGACCGGGUAAAGAGGGGAUUAGUCUGAGAAGUGACCAAGAGGUCAAGGGUAACUCUGAAGGACUUUGAGAAGCUGUUUACAGGAAAAUAAUUUCCUGGAAACUCCACAAAGCUGGGAUUUAUUGAUGAGUAAAGACAAGAGAAAAAAAACAUAUGAGUUUGUCAAGAUGGAAUGAUGAAGAGUCAGUGGAGAAGUUUCUCUGGUCUGAUGAGACCAAAAUUGAACUUAUUUGGUCUCAGGACAAAGGGUAACAUUUGGCAGAAACCCAACACUGCUCACUGUGAAGCAUGGUGGUGGUAGCAUUGUGCCGUGGAGACUGAGAAACUGGUCAGGGUUGAGGGCGAGAUGGAUGAAAAAGAUUCAGGGCUAUCCUAAAAGAAAACCUGUUCCUGUCUGCAAGAGACUUGAAACAGUGGGUGGAGCUUCCAAAUGGACGACAAUGCUAGGAAUGCUGCCAAAGCUACAGUGGGGAAUGUGUUAGAACAAUGCAGUCAAAGUCUGACUGAGAAUCUGUGGCAAAAAUUGCUGUUCACUAACAACAGCCUCCAUCUAAUCUCACCGAACUUGAGCAGGUUUGCCUGGAAGAAUGGGCAAAAAAAAUACCCGGAUCCAGAUGUGCAAAGCUGAUAGAGACAUAGCCCGGGGUGGGGGUGUGUGUGUGUGUGUGUUUGUGUGUUCCUUAAUUAAUGUUUGCGUGAUAAUACACAAUAUUCUUUCUCAAAUUUUAGACAUAAUAGUAAAAAAGAGUCCAUUUCAAUUCUAAAUUGUAACACUACAAAAUGUGGAAAGGUUCAAGAGGGGGGUGAAUACUUAAGCAAGCCACUACAUUUGUCCAAGACAAGAGAACUGUUAUAGUUUAAUAUCUCUCAUACACACAUUGUUUAUCUUUUUUUCCACUCCCUCCACUUCCUGUUAGUCAUUCCAGCCUCUCUCUCUCUCUCUCUCUCUCUCAUUUACAUACACCAUCUUCCUUCUUCUCUAUUCUAUUCACCAUCACUCCUCCUUUUCCAUGGUGGCGACUAACGGAUUUCCUUCUUGCCACCACACACACACACAUAUACACACACACACACACACAUAAACCCUCCUCUUAUUUCCCAGCAGUCUGUGCGAGAGGCUGAACAGCUCUAUAUAAAGACACAAGAGGGAAAAGGAGGGGCGCGGUGCAGCAGGGAAACUCGCACUGAGACUUGCCGGGACAGACGGAGAGAGAGAGGAGAGAGAGAGAGACGGAAGGCUGAGACACCAGACAUACACACACACAACCAAGAUAGAGGAAAAUCCCUAAGAUAACACAUCCAUAACCAUGGCAG